This 384-nucleotide unclassified non-coding RNA is filed under the name Hevea brasiliensis (rubber tree). The record is from RNAcentral. Lineage: Eukaryota; Viridiplantae; Streptophyta; Magnoliopsida; Malpighiales; Euphorbiaceae.
AUAUUUGUCUCUGCCAUCAAAACGGUCCCCAUGACCAUAUCGUCCUCCAUCAUAGCGGUCAUCCAUGAAUCGAUCGCGAUCACCUCCAAAGCGGUCACCACGGUCACCAGCUCCUGCAAACCUAGAACGUGAAGGGAAUGAACCUCCACCUCCACCUCGGCCACCAACUGAAGGGCAGUCUCGAGCCCAAUGUCCUGGGCGUCCACACUUGAAGCAAUCAUCUUGCCCAUGAGGUCUGUCUCCCCCAUAGCCUCCUCUGCCACCCUCAUCUCCUCCCAUUUUAGGUUGAGCCUUGUUCACUGAGAUGACACGAUCACCAAGCUCCCGCCCAUGCAUCUCCCUAAUAGCAUCAUCCAUGGCCCGACGAUCUGAGAAUGUGAUAAA